UACGUAGGGUGCAAGCGUUGUCCGGAAUUAUUGGGCGUAAAGAGCUCGUAGGUGGCCAACUAAGUCAGACGUGAAAUCCCUCGGCUUAACCGGGGAACUGCGUCUGAUACUGGAUGGCUUGAGUUUGGGAGAGGGACGCGGAAUUCCAGGUGUAGCGGUGAAAUGCGUAGAUAUCUGGAGGAACACCGGUGGCGAAGGCGGCGUCCUGGACCAACACUGACACUGAGGAGCGAAAGCCAGGGGAGCAAACGGG
RNAcentral lists this ribosomal RNA (253 nucleotides) under uncultured bacterium. Its description in RNAcentral is "partial 16S ribosomal RNA". It matches the Rfam family "Bacterial small subunit ribosomal RNA", at positions 524 to 776 of the family's 1533-position model. The record is from RNAcentral.